This 496-nucleotide ribosomal RNA is filed under the name uncultured bacterium. RNAcentral describes it as "partial 16S ribosomal RNA". It matches the Rfam family "Bacterial small subunit ribosomal RNA", at positions 28 to 506 of the family's 1533-position model. The record is from RNAcentral.
GACGAACGCUGGCGGCGUGCCUAAUACAUGCAAGUUGAGCGCUGAAGGUUGGUACUUGUACCGACUGGAUGAGCAGCGAACGGGUGAGUAACGCGUGGGGAAUCUGCCCUUGAGCGGGGGACAACAUUUGGAAACGAAUGCUAAUACCGCAUAAAAACUUUAAACACAAGUUUUAAGUUUGAAAGAUGCAAUUGCAUCACUCAAAGAUGAUCCCGCGUUGUAUUAGCUAGUUGGUGAGGUAAAGGCUCACCAAGGCGAUGAUACAUAGCCGACCUGAGAGGGUGAUCGGCCACAUUGGGACUGAGACACGGCCCAAACUCCUACGGGAGGCAGCAGUAGGGAAUCUUCGGCAAUGGACGAAAGUCUGACCGAGCAACGCCGCGUGAGUGAAGAAGGUUUUCGGAUCGUAAAACUCUGUUGGUAGAGAAGAACGUUGGUGAGAGUGGAAAGCUCAUCAAGUGACGGUAACUACCCAGAAAGGGACGGCUAACUACGU